Long non-coding RNA from Neltuma alba, 243 nucleotides. RefSeq lists it as uncharacterized. The transcript is spliced from 3 exons. Lineage: Eukaryota; Viridiplantae; Streptophyta; Magnoliopsida; Fabales; Fabaceae. The record is from RefSeq and is a predicted model, not a curated record.
AUGAUGCAGUUGUCAUUGGAGUUUGUGUGUUUCUUGUCCCAUUGACAAUGUCAUCUACUGGUUUGAUCCCUUGGGUCGUCGUCCAAGCAGUGAGAUGAGGGGCGUUUUCAACACGGCUUUAAAGACUUAUUAUAUAACCGGUGGGAAGCGUUCCGGGAAAAAUGGCUCAACAACUUGGGUAUAUCCUAGUUGUGCUAAGCAACAAGGGCCAACAGAGUGCGGAUAUUACAUUAUCCGUUAUAU